This 1035-nucleotide long non-coding RNA is filed under the name Phasianus colchicus (ring-necked pheasant). Its description in RNAcentral is "lncRNA (ENSPCLG00000008000.1)". Lineage: Eukaryota; Metazoa; Chordata; Aves; Galliformes; Phasianidae. The record is from RNAcentral.
AAUUAUUUCAUUUAUUUAUUUACUUCAGACUUGCAUCUAGCUCUACAGUCAAAAUAGCUACAUCUAGCGACUCAGAGAAAGAAACAACCUGGAAGCUGUGUUCUCAGCAGUACAAACACACUUUGCUUUUUUUAAUGUUUUUGUGGUUUUUUUGUUUUUGUUUUUUUUUUCGCCUCUCUUCACUGAAGCACUGCUGCACAACCCUGAAGAAAACCCAUUUCUAAGCACUAAUACACGCGUUAAUUUGCUCAAUUUGCUCUCAGAAGGCCCGGACAGCUGCAGGAAGCCUACCAGCCACCCCCACUCACAGCUGACACCCCCCGCCGCGCUCAGCAGGCACAGCACCGCGUUCCGAGCCGCGCGAGCCCGUUGGCUCUCGUGCACUGGCUGUCAGGUGCAGCUGGAGGGGCAGCUCUGGAAGCGUACUCCGCCGGGCGCGUGGCCAGAACCGCUCCGCGCCUCUGGGAAAGGCAGAUUCGUUCGCCCUCGGCGAACACGUAGUAAAACAAGUGAAUUCCCGGUUACUCGACUGCUGUGCUUCCCUAAACGCCGGUGCCACGGUGAGCUGCCCGAGGGAAGAGCAGAGGCUUCUCAUCCCUUGGGAUGUGCCCAGGCGGACCUCGUUUGGAGAGCUCCGAACCCGCGGGCCGAGGACAGUGGUUGAGACAUACAGAUGUACUUGUACUUAUGACAAUGAAGACAAAAAAAAAACCACUCAGGAGAUAAAUGAACACUGAGGAGAAAAAGGACAUGAAAGGUAAGCUACUACAGCACUGUAGAAGUUAAAGCUUUCAAUUUGUCAAUCAAAAGUAGUCAUAUAUAUAGUAGAUAACUCAUUAACAAAAGUAUUUCCUGACUUUUUUGCUGGAUGUACGUAUGGAAUCUUGAGGGAUGCAAGUGCUUCUAAACUUCCGUCGCAUUUGGCUUACAUUUCUUUUAUGCUAUUGUGGAUUGGGUUCAUUCAUGUAUAAAACAACAUGUUUGAGUUAUUGAUGGGACUUGGAUGAAGGAAUUAAUGUUAUAGUCUUGUUAUUG